RNAcentral lists this ribosomal RNA (2544 nucleotides) under Triticum aestivum (bread wheat). RNAcentral describes it as "partial small subunit ribosomal RNA". Lineage: Eukaryota; Viridiplantae; Streptophyta; Magnoliopsida; Poales; Poaceae. The record is from RNAcentral.
AGUCGUGUGAGCAUUUCGUGCAAAGUACCCCAUUUCCCGUGUGCACGCCCUCACGGUCGGACUCGGACGGAUAGGCUCGCGCGGCGUGCGGUUCGCGAACCGCGCACGGCGGAGGGCACGAGGCGGCCACCGCUCUCCUCGCCGUCGGACGCCAGUGGCACUAGACUAGCGGAGCAUCUCCCCACUGUCGCCGCUCCACUCAUCGAAUCGAAUAAAGUACUGCUGCCAUCUCCUCCCAGGCUCCAAAAUCCCUCCCCUUCCCUCCCUCCCCCGAUCUGAUUCCAUUCCCCACCUCCUCCGAUGCCAUCUCGCCGCCGCUCCUGAGCGCGCCCCGCCCCCCUCCCUCCCUCGCCGCCGCCGCUCCGGAGCCGACGGCGAGCCGGAGCCCUAGCCAGGGAGGGCCCCGUCGGCCAUGGCGUUCUGGUGGCCGCUGCUGGUGCUCGCCGCCGCCUACGCGCUCUGCCGCGUCCUGCUCUUCCUCAUCCCGCCCACCGUCCCCUCCAUGGAGGUCGACGCCUCCGAUGUGAUGGAGGAGGUCAACCAGAACAAGGAGGAUAGCUUCAUCUACGUACCAAGGAAGGGGAAAGCUGCUCAGACUGAUAUGGUUCGAUGCUACGAGCCAGCUACCAUGAAAUACUUGGGAUACUUUCCUGCUUUAACUCCUGAUGAGGUCCAAGAGCAUGUUGCACAAGCUCGUAAAGCACAAGAGAUAUGGGCGAAAAGCAGCUUCAAACAAAGGCGGCAGUUUCUUCGGAUCCUUCUGAAGUAUAUACUUGAACAUCAGGAUCUGAUAUGCGAGAUAUCAUCUCGUGACACUGGAAAGACUAUGGUUGAUGCUUCAUUAGGUGAGAUCAUGACCACAUGUGAGAAGAUUCACUGGCUUUUGGAUGAGGGUGAGAAAUGGUUAAAACCUGAGUACAGAUCUUGUGGGAGAUCAAUGCUACACAAAACAGCGAAAGUUGAAUUCUAUCCUCUCGGGGUGAUUGGUGCAAUUGUAUCAUGGAACUAUCCUUUCCAUAAUGUGUUCAAUCCGAUGCUGGCUGCAGUAUUCUCUGGUAAUGCAGCAGUUAUAAAGGUUUCAGAGCAUGCGAGUUGGUCCGGCUGUUUUUAUUCCCGUAUCAUACAAGCAGCUCUGUUAGCUGUUGGUGCCCCAGAUAAUCUGGUUCACAUAGUAACUGGUUUUGCGGAAACGGGUCAAGCUCUUGUAUCUUCAGUGGACAAAAUAAUAUUCGUUGGAUCACCUGGCGUUGGAAGGAUGAUUAUGCAAAAAGCAUCGGAAACAUUAAUACCUGUAACUCUUGAGCUUGGUGGCAAAGACGCAUUUAUUGUGUGCGAAGAUGUGGAUUUACCCAAUGUUGUUCAAGUUGCUGUGAGAGCUGCACUGCAAUCUAGUGGACAGAACUGUGCUGGUGCUGAAAGAUUUUAUGUCCACAAGGAUAUCUAUCCUACCUUUGUUUCUCGCGUAGUGAAGAUAAUCAAAUCAAUAUCUGUUGGGCCCCCAUUAUCUGGCAGAUACGAUAUGGGUGCAAUCUGUAUGAUAGAGCACUCUGAGAGACUUCAGAAUCUUGUUAACGAUGCUCUUGACAAAGGUGCUGAAAUUGCUGUCAGAGGGAGCUUUGGUAAUUUGGGUGAAGAUGCGGUUGAUCAGUUCUUUCCUCCAACUGUUCUAGUGAAUGUUAAUCACACAAUGAAAAUUAUGCAGGAAGAGGCAUUUGGGCCGAUUCUACCAAUCAUGAAAUUCUCUUCUGAUGAAGAGGUCAUCCAACUUGCAAAUGACUCUAAAUACGGUCUUGGUUGUGCUGUUUUUUCUGGCAACCAGAAGCGUGCCAUCAAAAUAGCAUCUCAACUACACUGUGGUGUUGCAGCAAUCAAUGACUUUGCUUCAAGUUAUAUGUGUCAGUCUCUGCCCUUUGGUGGUGUUAAAGACAGCGGGUUUGGAAGAUUCGCUGGCGUGGAAGGCUUGCGCGCCUGCUGCCUUGUAAAGGCAGUCGUAGAAGACAGGUGGUGGCCAUAUGUGAAAACAAUGAUCCCCAAGCCUAUUCAGUAUCCCGUCUCGGAGAAUGGAUUUGCAUUCCAGCAGCUGCUCGUCGAGACUCUGUACGGCAUCAGCGUGUGGGACAGGCUGCAGUCGCUCGUGAAUCUGUUGAAGAUGAUCUCGGAGCAGAAGUCUCCUAUAACCAGGAGGAAAAGCAGUCUUUUGGCUGUCGUCCCCAAGGCGCAAGUUUGGUGGGGAUCAGGUUCAGAGCAAGACAGCAUUUAUCUGAAUGUAAAACGCCCUUUAGAACCAGUGCUUAUCCUAGAAAGUGAAGAUCGCAAUCGACGUUGUAAGCCCUGGAUUCGAUUUUCACCUGCCUGAAUGUAAAUGUUCCGUAUGUUUUCUGAGACUUUCAUCUAGCAUAGCACCUCAGUUUUAUAGACCGCUUGUGAUGUCGUGUUGAUCUAUACAUGCCUGCUGCCCAUGCAGCGGUAUAAGAGGGGUGCAUCUGUUAAGCAAUUUUAUUUACUCUUACUCUAUGUUCCUCUUAGUGAAAUAUUAAUCAUCAA